Molecule: ribosomal RNA, 777 nt
Filed under: Obrium brevicorne
Lineage: Eukaryota; Metazoa; Arthropoda; Insecta; Coleoptera; Cerambycidae
Description: partial large subunit ribosomal RNA
Rfam family: Eukaryotic large subunit ribosomal RNA
Source: RNAcentral
UAAGCGGAGGAAAAGAAACUAACCAGGAUUCCCUCAGUAGCUGCGAGCGAACAGGGAAGAGCCCAGCACCGAAUCCCGCGGCCGAUACCGGGCGCCGGGAAAUGUGGUGUUAGGGAGGAUCCGUCUAUCCCGAGGUCGUGCAGCGCGUCCAAGUCCUUCUUGAACGGGGCCACAGCCCAUAGAGGGUGCCAGGCCCGUAGCGACCGUCGCCGAUCGCGGGAGGAUCUCUCCUUAGAGUCGGGUUGCUUGAGAGUGCAGCCCUAAGUGGGUGGUAAACUCCAUCUAAGGCUAAAUAUGACCACGAGACCGAUAGCGAACAAGUACCGUGAGGGAAAGUUGAAAAGCACUUUGAAGAGAGAGUUCAAAAGUACGUGAAACCGUUCAGGGGUAAACCUGAGAAACCCGAAAGGUCGAAAGGGGAAAUUCAUUCGCGUUUCUCGCGUCGUCCGCGCCUUCCGUUCUUCGAACCGGCGCAGAACGCGUGCACUUUUCCCCUAGUAGGACGUCGCGAUCCGUUGGGUGUCGGUCCUCGCGGUGGAGCCCGCGCGAACGCUUUGCUCGGACCCGCGAGAACCCGACCGACUCGCUCGACGGUAAACAGAAGGCGCUGGGUCGCUAUACAGUUAGCGUUCGGCCCGUGGCAAGCGCGUUUGUGACGGUGAUCGGACCUGGUGCCGGUCCUGUCCCCGAACGACUGUUGGCUGCUCUCGAACAGACCCCGUCGAAACGCCGAUCUGCGACGCUAUAGCUUUGGGUACUUUCAGGACCCGUCUUGAA